RNAcentral lists this long non-coding RNA (1308 nucleotides) under Apteryx owenii (little spotted kiwi). Its description in RNAcentral is "lncRNA (ENSAOWG00000005614.1)". The record is from RNAcentral. Lineage: Eukaryota; Metazoa; Chordata; Aves; Apterygiformes; Apterygidae.
AUGUCCUGUGUCCCAUGUCCCCAAUGCGCAAGCGUGUCCCCAACGUGUCUCGUGUCCCCGACGCACCUGAGUCCUGGGUCCCCAACACGUGUCCUGUGUCCCCAAUGCACAACUGUCGCCAGCAUGUGUCCCCAACACGUUUCCCUGUCCCCAAUGCGUGUCCCAUGUCCCCAAUGUGUCCCCAACCCAUGUCGUGUCCCCAACACGUGUCCCCAACCCACGUCCCCAACACCUCAUGUCCCCAACACGUGUCCCUGUCCCCGACAUGCACCUGUGUCCCCAUGUCCCACGUCCCCAAUGUGUCCCCAACACGUGUCCCCAACCGAUGUCCCCAUCCCUGUGUCCCGUGUCCCCAACUCAUCCCGUGUCCCCAACAUCUCAUGUCCCCAAGUGUCCUGUAUCCCCAACACGUCCUCUACACGUGUCCCUGUCUCCAACAUGCACCUGUGUCAUGUCCCCAAUGUGUCCCCAACUCGUGUCCUGUGUCCCCAAUACGUGUCCCCAACCCAUGUCCCCAUCCCCAUGUGUCAUGUCCCCAACACGUCCCCAACACAUGUCCCCAACAUAUCUCAUGUCCCCAAGUGUCCUGUGCCCCCGUGUCCCUGUCCCCAACCUGUGUCCCCAUGUCCCCAACCCAUGUCCUGUGUCCCCAAUGCACAACUGUCCCCAACAUGUCCCCAACCCAUGUCCCCGUCCCCAACAUGUGUCCUGUGUCCCCAGCACAUCUCAUGUCCCCAACAGUGUCUCGUGUCCCCAACGCGUGUCCCUGCCCUAACCUGUGUCCCAUGUCCCCAAUGUGUCCCCAACUCGUGUCCUGUGUCCCCAACCCAUGUCCCCAUCCCCAUGUCGUGUCCCCAACCCAUGUCCCCAACACAUCUCAUGUCCCCAACUGUCCUGUGCCAUGUCCCUGUCCCCAACCUGUGUCCCAUGUCCCCAACCCAUGUCCUGUGUCCCCAAUACGUGUCCCCAACCUGUGUCCCGUGUCCCCAAAACAUGUCCCCAACCUGUGUCUUGUGUCCCCAAUACGUGUCCUGGGUCCCCAACACGCACAAGUGUGUCCCCAACCUGUGUCCCACGUCCCUAAUGCGUCCCCAACCCGUGUCCCCAUCCAUGUGUCCUGUGUCCCCAACGCAUCUCAUGUCCCCAAGUGUCCUGUGUCCCCAACACGUGUCCCUGCCCACAGCCUGUGUCCCAUGUCCCCAAUGUGUCCCCAACCUGUGUCCCGUGUCCCCAAAACAUGUCACCAACCCGUGUCCCAUGUCCCCAAUGUGUCCCCAACCUGUGUCCCAUGUCCCCAAUGUGUCCCCA